UACGAAGGGGGCUAGCGUUGCCCGGAAUCACUGGGCGUAAAGCGCACGUAGGCGGCUUACUAAGUCAGGGGUGAAAGCCUGGAGCUCAACUCCAGAACUGCCUUCGAUACUGGCGAUCUCGAGUCCGGAAGAGGUGAGUGGAACUCCUAGUGUAGAGGUGGAAUUCGUAGAUAUUAGGAAGAACACCAGUGGCGAAGGCGGCUCACUGGUCCGGUACUGACGCUGAGGUGCGAAAGCGUGGGGAGCAAACAGG
This 253-nucleotide ribosomal RNA is filed under the name uncultured bacterium. RNAcentral describes it as "partial 16S ribosomal RNA". It matches the Rfam family "Bacterial small subunit ribosomal RNA", at positions 524 to 776 of the family's 1533-position model. The record is from RNAcentral.